UACGUAGGGGGCGAGCGUUGUCCGGAAUUAUUGGGCGUAAAGAGCUCGUAGGCGGCUUGGCAAGUCGGAUGUGAAAACUCCAGGCUCAACCUGGAGCCGCCAUUCGAUACUGCUAUGGCUAGAGUCCGGUAGGGGAGUGUGGAAUUCCCGGUGUAGCGGUGAAAUGCGUAGAUAUCGGAAGGAACACCAGUGGCGAAAGCGGCUUCCUGGUCCAGCACCGACGUUCAGGCACGAAAGCGUGGGGAGCAAACAGG
Molecule: ribosomal RNA, 254 nt
Filed under: uncultured bacterium
Lineage: Bacteria
Description: partial 16S ribosomal RNA
Rfam family: Bacterial small subunit ribosomal RNA
Source: RNAcentral